RNAcentral lists this long non-coding RNA (323 nucleotides) under Pelobates cultripes (western spadefoot toad). The record is from RNAcentral. Lineage: Eukaryota; Metazoa; Chordata; Amphibia; Anura; Pelobatidae.
CCAGAGACAAAAUCAUGGAUUAGACAUACUCAUGCAGCAUAGCAUGCACUAUCCCACCUAACACUUUCAUCCCAUACUUGUAGAACGCAUAACACCUAUUCACCUGGCUUUAAAGAAUCUCAUUGGAACACGACAGAGCUCAACCUGUGUCAUAACAUUUCUCCUAGGUUUUGCUUCAUUUUUUGCCACCUUAAACUAAAACCAUCUCACACACCAUUAAUUAUAUAUUUUACAGGCAUUCAACAACACAGGAUAACCUAUGGCCAAACUACCAUAACUUCAUGCUAUCAUACCAGACAAGAAUAUACUCAGAGGUUUUCAGG